This 253-nucleotide ribosomal RNA is filed under the name uncultured bacterium. RNAcentral's name for it is "partial 16S ribosomal RNA". It matches the Rfam family "Bacterial small subunit ribosomal RNA", at positions 524 to 776 of the family's 1533-position model. The record is from RNAcentral.
UACAGAGGGGGCAAGCGUUGUUCGGAAUUACUGGGCGUAAAGGGCGCGUAGGCGGCCUGUUAAGUCGAACGUGAAAUCCCCAGGCUCAACCUGGGAACUGCGUCCGAUACUGGCAGGCUUGAAUCCGGGAGAGGGAUGCGGAAUUCCAGGUGUAGCGGUGAAAUGCGUAGAUAUCUGGAGGAAUACCGGUGGCGAAGGCGGCAUCCUGGACCGGCAUUGACGCUGAGGCGCGAAAGCCAGGGGAGCAAACGGG